CGUCCGGGCUCUGUCCGGCCCCGCCCCCCAGCUUCUGUCCCCCAAGACGAAUUCCGGCGGCAGGGAGCCGGCGCCGUCCGCCCAGCGCCCCCAGAGGCCGGCGGGGGACCUGACGGCCGGGACCCGGACUGGCGGCUGCUGUAGUGCAGUGACACUGCCUCUAUUCAGUCGUUAAUUCAUCGAGUGUAUCGUGAGCGCCGAUCCUGUGCCAGGUGCAGGACCACGUACCGGGAAAAGGAGACGCAUGAUUCACCCUAGCUGCCCAUUGGGAGGUCACUGCCUAGAGGAGCAGGCAUCUGACGCAAAAAUGACAGCGCGGGGAGAGCUGUCACAGAGGAGCUACAGGAGCGCAGCAGACUUGGGGGCGUUUAACGUGGGCGCAGUGGGCGCCACGGAGAACUUCUGGAGUCGCUUAUGUCUGUGUUGAGGUUUGAAGGACUUGGGAGGAAAGGAUGAAGAAAACCUGGCAAAGCCCUGACCUGUUUGGCUCAGUGGAUAGAGCGUCGGCCUGCGGACUGAAGGGUCCCAGGUUCGAUUCCGGUCGCGGGCACAUCCCCAGUGGGAGGUGUGCAGGAGGCAGCUGAUCGAUGUUUCUCUCU
This is a long non-coding RNA of Eptesicus fuscus (big brown bat), 599 nucleotides long. RefSeq lists it as uncharacterized. The record is from RefSeq and is a predicted model, not a curated record. The transcript has 2 exons. NCBI's taxonomy places the organism in Eukaryota, Metazoa, Chordata, Mammalia, Chiroptera, Vespertilionidae.